AGGCAUCUCUGACUGCAGUUCUCUUUGCAAGUUUAAGAACAGCUGCACUGCCAUGAGUGAUGUGCAAGUGACAGCUAUCAGAGCAGUGGACAGAAGUGCAAGAUCUAUUCCUGCUUGUAGAUGUGGCGGGGAAAGAAGCCAGAGAGCAAGAGGUGUUAAAAAAUGCCGCGAAAGGAACAAGGAAGUAAUGGGGCUGCUGGGACAUGAAGCAAUGCAUCACGGGACACUAAGCAAGGACCCAGAAUGCCCUCCGCACAUCCCCUUCCCACAAGACCUAUUGUCAAAACGGAGAGAGCUGCACUGUGGGAUAGCUGCUCUCAGUACCCUGCUCUCAUCGGUGAUGGAAGUGCUGCAGAUGUAAACACUCUCUGACGCCUGUGGAAAUAAAUAAAGGUGCAGAGUCACCAAGAGUGCUGCCUAAUGGUUAGGCAGGGCUUUGGCAGGGUACCUCCCUGUUGAAAAGCACAGAGCAUGUCUACGCUUACCUCCGGAGCGAUCGAUCCAGCAGGGGUCGAUUUAUCACCUCUAGUGAAGACGCGAUAAAUUGACUGCCGAGCGCUCUCCUGUCGACUCUGGUACUCCACCGGAGCGAGAAGCGCAGGCAGAGUCGAUGGGGGAAUGUCAGCAGUUGACUCACUGCAGCGAAGACACCGUGGACUGGACAUUGAAGUACUAAACAACUGUGACUGUGUCGGGUAGGCCUGGGCCAACUUGGGGUAGCAAGUACUUGAAAUCUGAUGAUAGAGGCCUUCACACAAGAUUCACAAAUCAAAGAGGGUCUGGCUGCAGUGCUUCCUGGGAUGGUGCAACUUGCGCACCACCAUUGACUGAAGGAGGUCCUGGAAGGCACAAUCUAGCUCAUCAAUGAGAC
This is a long non-coding RNA of Caretta caretta (loggerhead turtle), 871 nucleotides long. RefSeq lists it as uncharacterized. The record is from RefSeq and is a predicted model, not a curated record. NCBI's taxonomy places the organism in Eukaryota, Metazoa, Chordata, Testudines, Cheloniidae.